This 257-nucleotide long non-coding RNA is filed under the name Panax ginseng (ginseng). RNAcentral's name for it is "long non-coding RNA (PGIN_LNC005123)". The record is from RNAcentral. Lineage: Eukaryota; Viridiplantae; Streptophyta; Magnoliopsida; Apiales; Araliaceae.
CCGUAAUGCAGGGAUGAUUCGAUGAUGUGGAUUAUUUAUUAAGCUGAGUCUCAGCGAUAAAAUAUUGAUUAUACACUUUUAAUUCGUAAAAGAUAGUAGAUAUCAUGCUCUACUUGACUCUUCUAAAAUACAGUUGUAUGUCUUUGACCUGUAGUGCAAAGAUGAAUUGUUAAUGAAUAUCUUUGGCCGUAGUGCAAAGAUGAAUUUAUUAGUAUGAUUAUGAGCAGGAAUUGUGAUUUGGUAUAACCAUGAUUUUU